Molecule: long non-coding RNA, 603 nt
Filed under: Androctonus crassicauda
Lineage: Eukaryota; Metazoa; Arthropoda; Arachnida; Scorpiones; Buthidae
Source: RNAcentral
AUCCAAUUGAAAAAUAUUUUUGUCCCUGUUUGUGGAAUACAAUUUUUCAUGUGUUUCUUGCAUUAAAAAAUGUUUAUUAUUGAAAUUAUUAAUAAUUUGUAAAGCUACUUAAUGAAGAUAAUGAUGAUUACAUCUAUCAACAAGAUGGAAAUCUGAUUCAUUAUUAUACUGAAUUAUUAUACUUAUUACUAUCUGAUACUUAUUAUUAUAUGAAAGUACCUCAACAAAAACUUACUACAAGAGUCAGACAAGAUACACAGGUAAACAUGAUGAUGCAUUAAUGUAGUGGCCACCCUGGUAAAUGGAUUUAACAUCAUGUGACUUUUUCUUGAGAUUUGUGAAGGACACUAUCUCUGUGCCCCCAUUUUCUGCUAAUGUCAUGUAAUUUUGCAAUAGUAUCACUGCUCUGUGAUACUGAUCAGCUGCGAUAUAUACUCAUGUGCAUGUGGGACAAAAUGGAUUAUUGGCUUAAUGUCUGUUGCAUCAGCAGAGGUGGACACAUUAACCCAAUUUCCACAGUCUCUAUUCACCUUGCCAAUAUGAGAAUGUCAAACAGAUACAUGUUAAGCCUAACAGAUGUUUGAAUAAAUUUAAACACUUAUA